UAGGGAAUCUUCGGCAAUGGGGGGAACCCUGACCGAGCAACGCCGCGUGAGUGAAGAAGGUUUUCGGAUCGUAAAGCUCUGUUGUUAAGGAAGAACGAGUGUGAGAAUGGAAAGUUCAUGCUGUGACGGUACUUAACCAGAAAGGGACGGCUAACUACGUGCCAGCAGCCGCGGUAAUACGUAGGUCCCGAGCGUUGUCCGGAUUUAUUGGGCGUAAAGCGAGCGCAGGCGGUUAGAAAAGUCUGAAGUGAAAGGCAGUGGCUCAACCAUUGUAGGCUUUGGAAACUGUUUAACUUGAGUGAAGAAGGGGGGAGUGGAAUUCCAUGUGUAGCGGUGAAAUGCGUAGAUAUAUGGAGGAACACCGGUGGCGAAAGCGGCUCUCUGGUCUGUAACUGACGCUGAGGCUCGAAAGCGUGGGGAGCGAACAGG
RNAcentral lists this ribosomal RNA (429 nucleotides) under Bacteroidota bacterium. RNAcentral describes it as "Bacteroidetes bacterium partial 16S ribosomal RNA". It matches the Rfam family "Bacterial small subunit ribosomal RNA", at positions 355 to 776 of the family's 1533-position model. The record is from RNAcentral. Lineage: Bacteria; Pseudomonadati; Bacteroidota.